Molecule: unclassified non-coding RNA, 560 nt
Filed under: Melitaea cinxia (Glanville fritillary)
Lineage: Eukaryota; Metazoa; Arthropoda; Insecta; Lepidoptera; Nymphalidae
Description: misc RNA ENSMCXG00005018401.1
Source: RNAcentral
AGCUCAAAUAUUUACAACUUCGAAGGGUGGUCAAGUACUGGUUCUGUGUGGUCACCGUUACCAUCGAGAGUAUGAGAGGGUAUUAAAAGGAUUAAAGAAAAAAGUAAAAAAAGUGAUGCCGAGCUAGAGAGAAGAAGAAUAUCAAGAAGGGAACAUUAUAAAAGAAUAAAAGACGAUCCCGAAAAAUAUGCUGCUGAAAAAGCUAAGAAAAAAGAGGCUUAUUUGAGAAGAAAAACUCAGCAAAAAGUAAAAAGUAUCAAACAAAUGUCUCCACGGAAACAAAGGGCGCAAAGAAAGCUUUGGAGAGAAAAUUCGAAACGUUACCUGGAAAAGAAAGCAAAAGAAAGAAAGACGCAAGAAGUGACUAUUGCAAUGCAAGAAGUACCUGAAGCUGACGAAAAAGUAACGGAUCCUGAAAAUGUUUUGGACCCUUUGAUCGUUUAAAAUGAAGAGAAAUAAAAAUAUUAACAAAGUAAUAGAAAAACAUUACAACAAAAGUUUUUAAGGGAAAACAUGCUACUGAAAAAAAAUGAUCCUAUUAAUAAAGGAAUAACAAAACU